GUUAAGUAAGUCUCGAAAGUACGCCUGCCACCUCUGCUUGACUUGAGACUCCCCUAUCAAAACUCUACCAUCCUCGCCCUUGAUGCACCCAACUUUGUCAAGAUCACGCGCCUUCCUUUCCCUUGCUUUAGCUAACCGGAAUAACUUCAUGUCCCCGCCUUUCUCCCCUAAUUCCUCGUACAUUCGACUAAACGCUGCAUUUUUAGCUUCCGUAACCGCCAGCUUCGCUUCUUUCCUAGCCACCUUGUAGAUCUCCAUGUUCACUCUCCGUUCUUCCUUGCUCGCGCUCCCUGCCAACUUAGCAAACGCCGGCUUCUUCACCUUCACUUUUCCUUCGACUACAUCGUUCCACCACUAGUCACCCUGAUGUCUGCCUGAAUAGCCUUUGGCUACCCCAAGCACGUCCCGUGCUACCUCCCUAACUAAGUUCGCCGUCUCUGAUCACAUAGGUCCGUUUCCCCAGAACUUCUCCAAGCUCCGCCCUCAGCUAACCUCCUCUCCAACUCCUUUGCUUUCUCCUUAGUCAAAACAACCCAUCUAAUCCGCGGUUGUCCCCGAGCACCCCUCCUCUUCCUCUUCACCCAGAGACCGACAUCCAUCACUAGANNNNNNNNNNNNNNNNNNNCUUCACUUUUCCUUCGACUACAUCGUUCCACCACUAGUCACCCUGAUGUCUGCCUGAAUAGCCCUUGGCUACCCCGAGCACAUCCCGAGCUACCUCCCUAACCAAGUUAACCGUCUCUGACCACAUAGCGUCCGCUUCCCCAGAACUUCUCCAAGCUCCGCCAUCAGCUAACCUCCUCUCCAACUCUUGUGCUUUCUCCUUUGUCAAAACACCCCAUCUAAUCCACGGUUGUCCCCGAGCACCCCUCCUCUUCCUCUUCACCCAG
This 890-nucleotide long non-coding RNA is filed under the name Nicotiana benthamiana. RNAcentral's name for it is "long non-coding RNA (NBEN_LNC029892)". Lineage: Eukaryota; Viridiplantae; Streptophyta; Magnoliopsida; Solanales; Solanaceae. The record is from RNAcentral.